UACGUAGGGUGCAAGCGUUGUCCGGAAUUAUUGGGCGUAAAGAGCUCGUAGGCGGUCUGUCGCGUCGGCUGUGAAAACCCGAGGCUCAACCUCGGGCCUGCAGUCGAUACGGGCAAACUAGAGUACUGCAGGGGAGACUGGAAUUCCUGGUGUAGCGGUGAAAUGCGCAGAUAUCAGGAGGAACACCGGUGGCGAAGGCGGGUCUCUGGGGCAGUAACUGACGCUGAGGAGCGAAAGCGUGGGGGAGCGAACAGG
This 255-nucleotide ribosomal RNA is filed under the name uncultured bacterium. RNAcentral's name for it is "partial 16S ribosomal RNA". It matches the Rfam family "Bacterial small subunit ribosomal RNA", at positions 524 to 776 of the family's 1533-position model. The record is from RNAcentral.